Molecule: ribosomal RNA, 457 nt
Filed under: uncultured bacterium
Lineage: Bacteria
Description: bacterial SSU rRNA
Rfam family: Bacterial small subunit ribosomal RNA
Source: RNAcentral
AACGAACGCUGGCGGCAUGCCUAACACAUGCAAGUCGAACGAAGCCUUCGGGCUUAGUGGCGCACGGGUGCGUAACGCGUGGGAAUCUGCCCUUAGGUACGGAAUAACUCAUGGAAACGUGUGCUAAUACCGUAUGAUGUCUUCGGACCAAAGAUUUAUCGCCUAGGGAUGAGCCCGCGUUGGAUUAGCUAGUUGGUGAGGUAAAGGCUCACCAAGGCGACGAUCCAUAGCUGGUCUGAGAGGAUGAUCAGCCACACUGGGACUGAGACACGGCCCAGACUCCUACGGGAGGCAGCAGUGGGGAAUAUUGGACAAUGGGCGAAAGCCUGAUCCAGCAAUGCCGCGUGAGUGAAGAAGGCCUUCGGGUUGUAAAGCUCUUUCGGCCGGGAAAAAUCGCAUCAGUUAAUACCUGGUGUGGAUGAUGGUACCGGAAUAAGAAGCACCGGCUAACUACGUG